This 253-nucleotide ribosomal RNA is filed under the name uncultured bacterium. Its description in RNAcentral is "partial 16S ribosomal RNA". It matches the Rfam family "Bacterial small subunit ribosomal RNA", at positions 524 to 776 of the family's 1533-position model. The record is from RNAcentral.
UACGGAGGGGGCUAGCGUUGUUCGGAAUUACUGGGCGUAAAGCGCGCGUAGGCGGACCUGCAAGUCGGGGGUGAAAGCCCGAGGCUCAACCUCGGAACUGCCUUCGAUACUGCGGGUCUCGAGUCCGGGAGAGGUGAGUGGAAUUCCUGGUGUAGCGGUGAAAUGCGCAGAUAUCAGGAAGAACACCCGUGGCGAAGGCGGCUCUCUGGGACGGUACUGACGCUGAGACGCGAAAGCGUGGGGAGCGAACAGG